AAUUUAUAAUACACGGACGUGGAAAGAAUCCUGUCCAUUGGUUUUCUGAAGAAUAGUUUGUUGGUCUGUAGGUGUCUGUUGCUGUGAUUAUCGCAUAGUAUGAAUACUAGUGUCUGUGCCGUGUCUGCCACGCUACGUGCUGGACACGCUCUCGUGCUGAUAGAUAUGAAUCGACCUUAUGAUUCCCACAGUUUUUUACCUUGCGAUAGGAACUUUUCAGUGAUCAAACGUGUUGUUAGAAGAUAGGAUAGAAUUUACUCCUUCGGUCAACACGAAGAGAUAAUCUACAGUCAUGAAACUCCCCAUUUUGAGUUACUUUCAAAUUGGCUAAAACUGCUUCACUGAAAGCUUAUCAGGGAAAAAUACCAAUCGACUACAAGAAAAUACAAGACAUCAAGGAGGUGGUGAACUGUGUGCCUGAAGAUUUUAAACCGUUCUACCAAGGGAUUUUUCACUACCAACCAGGAUUGUGAGAGCGACAACAACAAUAAUUAAAAUGACUUUUUGCAUUUUUUAAGAAA
Long non-coding RNA from Cimex lectularius (bed bug), 521 nucleotides. RefSeq lists it as uncharacterized. The record is from RefSeq and is a predicted model, not a curated record. The transcript has 2 exons. Lineage: Eukaryota; Metazoa; Arthropoda; Insecta; Hemiptera; Cimicidae.